Molecule: ribosomal RNA, 439 nt
Filed under: uncultured bacterium
Lineage: Bacteria
Description: partial 16S ribosomal RNA
Rfam family: Bacterial small subunit ribosomal RNA
Source: RNAcentral
CUACGGGCGGCACCAGUGGGGAAUAUUGCACAAUGGAGGGAACUCUGAUGCAGCAACGCCGCGUGGAGGAUGACGCAUUUCGGUGUGUAAACUCCUUUUAUAUAGGAAGAUAAUGACGGUACUAUAUGAAUAAACACCGGCUAACUCCGUGCCAGCAGCCGCGGUAAUACGGAGGGUGCAAGCGUUACUCGGAAUCACUGGGCGUAAAGCGCAUGCAGGCGGUUAAAUAAGUUGGAAGUGAAAUCCUAUGGCUCAACCAUAGAACUGCUUCCAAAACUGUUUAGCUAGAGUCUGGGAGGGGAAGAUGGAAUUAGUAGUGUAGGGGUAAAAUCCGUAGAGAUUACUAGGAAUACCAAAAGCGAAGGCGAUCUUCUGGAACAGUACUGACGCUGAGAUGCGAAAGCGUGGGGAGCAAACAGGAUUAGAUACCCUCGUAGUC